CUCUGAUGCCCUUCUCGUGACUCUUGUCAAUACACAGAGUGCACUGUUAACAUCUAAAGACUCAAACAAGGAUCCAGUUAUCAUCCAACAAGCUCAUAUUGGUGUGUUUGUUAAUAGAGUAACACCAGAAAGUUUGCAGAAAACGCCUAUAAAUAUUCCCAACUGCUCCAGUCCCGCAUUUUCUCUCCCAGUGCUCCCCCCUGAUAUACUUCCUUCAGAUGAACCAGUGGAUAUACGUAUGCUGAAUUUAGAUAAAAACCCAUUUUCCUGGAAUGAGAGAGGGAACAUAAGUGGCCAAAUCGGUGCUCUAUCUCUCACAGCAAAAGAUGGCUCCAACAUC
Long non-coding RNA from Chelmon rostratus (copperband butterflyfish), 340 nucleotides. RefSeq lists it as uncharacterized. Lineage: Eukaryota; Metazoa; Chordata; Actinopteri; Chaetodontiformes; Chaetodontidae. The transcript has 3 exons. The record is from RefSeq and is a predicted model, not a curated record.